RNAcentral lists this ribosomal RNA (522 nucleotides) under uncultured bacterium. RNAcentral's name for it is "partial 16S ribosomal RNA". It matches the Rfam family "Bacterial small subunit ribosomal RNA", at positions 357 to 871 of the family's 1533-position model. The record is from RNAcentral.
UGGGAAUUUGGACAAUGGGCGAAGCCUGAUCCAGCAAUGCCGCGUGUGUGAAGAAGGCCUUCGGGUUGUAAAGCACUUUUGUCCGGAAAGAAAUCCUUGGCUCUAAUACAGUCGGGGGAUGACGGUACCAGAAGAAUAAGCACCGGCUAACUACGUGCCAGCAGCCGCGGUAAUACGUAGGGUGCAAGCGUUAAUCGGAAUUACUGGGCGUAAAGCGUGCGCAGGCGGUUUGCUAAGACCGAUGUGAAAUCCCCGGGCUCAACCUGGGAACUGCAUUGGUGACUGGCAGGCUAGAGUAUGGCAGAGGGGGGUAGAAUUCCACGUGUAGCAGUGAAAUGCGUAGAGAUGUGGAGGAAUACCGAUGCGAAGGCAGCCCCUGGCCAAUACUGACGCUCAUGCACGAAAGCGUGGGGAGCAAAACAGGAUUAGAUACCCCUGGUAGUCCACGCCCUAAAACGAAUGUCAACUAGUUGUUGGGGGAUUCAUUUCCUUAGUAACGUAGCUAACGCGUGAAGUUGACCG